RNAcentral lists this ribosomal RNA (362 nucleotides) under uncultured bacterium. RNAcentral's name for it is "bacterial SSU rRNA". It matches the Rfam family "Bacterial small subunit ribosomal RNA", at positions 29 to 414 of the family's 1533-position model. The record is from RNAcentral.
AGCGAACGCUGGCGGCAGGCUUAACACAUGCAAGUCGAACGGGCGGUAGCAAUACGUCAGUGGCAGACGGGUGAGUAACGCGUGGGAACGUACCUCUUGGUUCGGAACAACCCCAGGGAAACUUGGGCUAAUACCGGAUAAGCCCUUACGGGGAAAGAUUUAUCGCCGAAAGAUCGGCCCGCGUCUGAUUAGCUAGUUGGUGUGGUAACGGCGCACCAAGGCGACGAUCAGUAGCUGGUCUGAGAGGAUGAUCAGCCACAUUGGGACUGAGACACGGCCCAAACUCCUACGGGAGGCAGCAGUGGGGAAUAUUGGACAAUGGGCGCAAGCCUGAUCCAGCCAUGCCGCGUGAGUGAUGAAGG